RNAcentral lists this ribosomal RNA (277 nucleotides) under Skeletonema menzelii. RNAcentral's name for it is "partial Eukaryotic small subunit ribosomal RNA". It matches the Rfam family "Eukaryotic small subunit ribosomal RNA", at positions 735 to 1003 of the family's 1831-position model. Lineage: Eukaryota; Bacillariophyta; Thalassiosirophyceae; Thalassiosirales; Thalassiosiraceae. The record is from RNAcentral.
GAGGCGGGCCGGCACGUUUACUUUGAAUCAAACUGGGUGCUCAAGGCAGGCAAAUUAAUUUACCGCCCGAAAGAACUUGCAUGGAAUAAUGGAAUAGGACCUCGGUUCUAUUUUGUUGGUUUUCGGAACCCCGAGGUAAUGAUUAAUAGGGACAGACGGGGGCAUUCGUACUGCGACGUUAGAGGUGAAAUUCUUGGAUCGUCGCAAGACGAACUACUGCGAAAGCAUUUGCCAAGAAUGUUUUCAUUAAUCAAGAACGAAAGUUGGGGGCUCGAAG